This 73-nucleotide transfer RNA is filed under the name Paramuricea clavata. It matches the Rfam family "tRNA". Rfam says of the family: Transfer RNA (tRNA) molecules are approximately 80 nucleotides in length. The record is from Rfam by way of RNAcentral. Lineage: Eukaryota; Metazoa; Cnidaria; Anthozoa; Malacalcyonacea; Plexauridae.
GACCGCGUAGCUCAGUUGGCAGAGCAUUGGGCUAGUAUUCCAACGGUCGUAGGUUCGAUUCCCACCGUGGCCG